AGCGAACGCUGGCGGCAGGCUUAACACAUGCAAGUCGAGCGGGCCCUUCGUGGUCAGCGUCGGACGGGUGAGUAACGCUUGGGAACGUGCCUUCUGAUCUGGAAUAACCCUGGGAAACUAGGGCUAAUACCGGAUGCGCCCCUUUGGGGGAAGGUUUACUGCCGGAAGAUCGGCCCGCGUCUGAUUAGUUUGUUUGUAGGGUAACGGCCUACCAACGCGACGUUUAGUAGCUGGUCUGAGAGGAUGAUCAGCCACACUGUGACUGAGACCCGGCCCAGACACCAACGGGAGGAAGCAGUGGGGAAUAUUGGACAAUGGGCGCAAGCCUGAUCCAGCCAUGCCGCGAGAGUGAUGAAGGCCUUAGGGUUGUAAAGCUCUUUUAUCCGGGACGAUAAUGACGGUACCGGAGGAAUAAGCCCCGGCUAACUUCGUG
This 433-nucleotide ribosomal RNA is filed under the name uncultured bacterium. RNAcentral describes it as "partial 16S ribosomal RNA". It matches the Rfam family "Bacterial small subunit ribosomal RNA", at positions 29 to 507 of the family's 1533-position model. The record is from RNAcentral.